CUCACAUCACGUUUGAAAUAUUUCACUCUUUGUGCAGCAUUUUCUGUGUUCGUGAGGCUGCGCCGUCAGAAAGUACACCUGUCGUGGUGAUUUAUAGAGUAUUUUGUCUGUGUGUGUGACGCUGCGCCGUCAGACGUUCACCCAUUUCAGAGAUUUUGUGUGUGUUUGGUCUGUGCUGGUGACGCUGUGCCGUCAGAAAGUUCACCUGUCCUAGAUAUUUCGUGAGGUGAAUUAGACAUGGAUCCACUGUUGCCCACCCUGAGCAUCGUUGACACCAGUGUGCCACAGGACAGACAACAGUGCUUUCUUAAAGCAUCGAAGGACGCCAAGACCCUGGCCUCUCGCAACAGGUGCUUCGAGCGGAACACUAGCCAGGACAAAAAAACUGCUUGUGAGGAAGGUAA
Molecule: long non-coding RNA, 404 nt
Organism: Danio aesculapii
Lineage: Eukaryota; Metazoa; Chordata; Actinopteri; Cypriniformes; Danionidae
Exons: 4
Source: RefSeq, a predicted model, not a curated record